RNAcentral lists this unclassified non-coding RNA (392 nucleotides) under soil metagenome. Its description in RNAcentral is "partial contains 5.8S ribosomal RNA, internal transcribed spacer 2, and large subunit ribosomal RNA". The stretch from base 1 to 120 matches the Rfam family "5.8S ribosomal RNA", at positions 35 to 154 of the family's 154-position model. The record is from RNAcentral.
GAUGAAGAACGCAGCGAAAUGCGAUAAGUAAUGUGAAUUGCAGAAUUCAGUGAAUCAUCGAAUCUUUGAACGCAUCUUGCGCUCCUUGGUAUUCCGAGGAGCAUGCCUGUUUGAGUGUCAUUUAACUUCUCAACCACAUUGGAUAUUUUUUUUCCGAUGCCGGCUUGGAUGUGGGGGUUGUUUGCAGGCUUUUUGUAACAAAAAAGGUCGGCUCCCCUGAAAUGUAUUAGUGGUAUCUGAGGCUAUUACUAUUAGGUGUGAUAAUUAUCUAUGCCUUUUGGGUAUGCCGCAUGAACAGAUUAUGCUGCUUCUAACGAAAACUAUUUUGAUGAAUUUGACCUCAAAUCAGGUAGGACUACCCGCUGAACUUAAGAAUAUCAAUAAGCGGAGGA